UUUGCGUGUUGCCUCUUCUGCUAGCUGCUGAGGGCUGUGCAAAGUUCCUGGAGAGGCUGCCAUUACCACUCCUUGAGGCAAGGCUGUAGUGGGAGUUCGGAUCUGAACUACUCUAAUUGCCAUGCUGGAAGGGUCAACAUCCACAACAAAAGCUUGGAGGACAUCUGAGUGAGCCAAUAUAGGAGGGAUGGUGAAGUUGGAACAGGAGACCGCUCGCAAAUAUGCCACACCGCAAACAGCAAUUCCGUGAAUCAUGAGGGUAUCCUGUGUAUAUCAUCCAGAACGGGUAAUGCUACGUAACCUUCUUCCAUUCUGUGUCUGCAGUGAAAUGAAGAAAUGCACUAUGAAGGUCUAUCUGUGCUGAAGGUGAUGUGUGAAGAAUGUCCAGUUAUUUGUGCUGAGUUUCUUGGAUCUCUUCUAAUGGGAUUUGAAGUGUGUUUAUUAUUCUUUUCAUAAAAUCCUGAAAUUGUUUAAAAUUGGAGGUGGAUAAAUACUUCAUUGAGAAGAGUGUACCCCUUCAUUAGCUCUCCUUUCUUCCUCCUCAGACAUCUCACCCUGCAGUGAAGACUGCUGUGGAGGAAUAAAGGGAAAUGGAGAGUGCUGUCUUUGGUAUUUCCUGCAAGCACUGUGUACCUUGGGAAAUAGUUGGAGGUUGUGAUGCGGUGUACUAACCGCCCCCCCCCGGCCAGGGAGGGGUUAACCAGGCUUACUGGGCUAAGAAGGCUCCUCCCC
Pelodiscus sinensis (Chinese soft-shelled turtle) is the source of this 732-nucleotide non-coding RNA. Lineage: Eukaryota; Metazoa; Chordata; Testudines; Trionychidae. The record is from RefSeq and is a predicted model, not a curated record.